This 506-nucleotide ribosomal RNA is filed under the name uncultured bacterium. Its description in RNAcentral is "partial 16S ribosomal RNA". It matches the Rfam family "Bacterial small subunit ribosomal RNA", at positions 29 to 523 of the family's 1533-position model. The record is from RNAcentral.
AGUGAACGCUGGCGGUAGGCCUAACACAUGCAAGUCGAACGGCAGCACAGGAGAGCUUGCUCUCUGGGUGGCGAGUGGCGGACGGGUGAGGAAUACAUCGGAAUCUACUCUGUCGUGGGGGAUAACGUAGGGAAACUUACGCUAAUACCGCAUACGACCUACGGGUGAAAGCAGGGGACCUUCGGGCCUCGCGCGAUUGAAUGAGCCGAUGUCGGAUUAGCUAGUUGGCGGGGGAAAGGCCCACCAAGGCGACGAUCCGUAGCUGGUCUGGGAGGAUGAGCAGCCACACUGGAAAUGAGACACGGUCCAGACUCCUACGGGAGGCAGCAGUGGGGAAUAUUGGACAAUGGGCGCAAGCCUGAUCCAGCCAUACCGCGUGGGUGAAGAAGGCCUUCGGGUUGUAAAGCCCUUUUGUUGGGAAAGAAAUCCAGCUGGCUAAUACCCGGUUGGGAUGACGGUACCCAAAGAAUAAGCACCGGCUAACUUCGUGCCAGCCGCCGCAGUAA